UAAUAUCAAGCUGCUGGAUUGAAGGCCAGCUUGGUUUGGACCAAGUCAGAUUGAGAACUACAACUGUAUGUGUCUUGGUUUGCAGUCUCUAUGAUCAUGUUUUCAAAAGUUGAGUACUCGGUGGAUGGUUUAGCCAGGCAGAUGCAUUCAGGUUUGAAACACAUAUGAUAGUGGAUGGUGCAAUAACCCUGCAGAGGACUGAUAUCUAUGGUGAAGGGGAACUAUCGGCCCGACUGAUGCACCUUGCAGUCUUUACGAGGAUCCUACAGUAAUUAGAAGACGAGAAGGAAGAGAGGUUGAGGGAAGAGUUUACGAAGAACAUUUAUGCAUUGCAAAUUUCAAAGAGUGUUGGAACUACAUACCCCGGUUUAGGAUUCCCCGCUAGCCAGCCUCAAAUGUCAGAAGAAUC
Molecule: long non-coding RNA, 409 nt
Organism: Erigeron canadensis
Lineage: Eukaryota; Viridiplantae; Streptophyta; Magnoliopsida; Asterales; Asteraceae
Exons: 4
Source: RefSeq, a predicted model, not a curated record